CUAGCCUUAUCGGUGGAUCACUCGGCUCGUGGAUCGAUGAAGAACGCAGCCAACUGCGAUAAUUAGUGUGAACUGCAGAAACCUUGAACACAGAACUUUCGAAUGCACAUUGCGCCAUUGGAGUGACAUCCAUUGGCACGCCUGGUUCAGGGUCGUAA
This 158-nucleotide ribosomal RNA is filed under the name Globodera zelandica. Its description in RNAcentral is "5.8S ribosomal RNA". It matches the Rfam family "5.8S ribosomal RNA". Rfam says of the family: 5.8S ribosomal RNA (5.8S rRNA) is a component of the large subunit of the eukaryotic ribosome. It is transcribed by RNA polymerase I as part of the 45S precursor that also contains 18S and 28S rRNA. The record is from RNAcentral. Lineage: Eukaryota; Metazoa; Nematoda; Chromadorea; Rhabditida; Heteroderidae.